RNAcentral lists this ribosomal RNA (265 nucleotides) under uncultured archaeon. Its description in RNAcentral is "partial 16S ribosomal RNA". It matches the Rfam family "Archaeal small subunit ribosomal RNA", at positions 719 to 982 of the family's 1478-position model. The record is from RNAcentral.
AGUCACUGACAUUAGAUACCCGGGUAGUCCUAGCCGUAAACGAUACUCGCUAGGUGUCGGCCACGGUGCGACCGUUGUCGGUGCCGUAGGGAAGCCGUGAAGCGAGCCACCUGGGAAGUACGGCCGCAAGGCUGAAACUUAAAGGAAUUGGCGGGGGAGCACAACAACGGGUGGAGCUUGCGGUUUAAUUGGAUUCAACGCCGGAAAUCUUACCGGGACCGACAGCAACAUGAAGGCCAAGCUGAAGACUUUGCCGGAUUAGCUG